This 261-nucleotide ribosomal RNA is filed under the name uncultured prokaryote. Its description in RNAcentral is "partial 16S ribosomal RNA". It matches the Rfam family "Bacterial small subunit ribosomal RNA", at positions 524 to 784 of the family's 1533-position model. The record is from RNAcentral.
UACGUAGGUGGCAAGCGUUAUCCGGAAUUAUUGGGCGUAAAGAGCGCGCAGGUGGUUGAUCAAGUCUGAUGUGAAAGCCCACGGCUUAACCGUGGACGGUCAUUGGAAACUGGUCGACUUGAGUGCAGAAGAGGGAAGUGGAAUUCCAUGUGUAGCGGUGAAAUGCGUAGAGAUAUGGAGGAACACCAGUGGCGAGGGCGGCUUCCUGGUCUGUAACUGACACUGAGGCGCGAAAGCGUGGGGAGUAAACAGGAUUAGAUA